Molecule: ribosomal RNA, 207 nt
Filed under: uncultured bacterium
Lineage: Bacteria
Description: partial 16S ribosomal RNA
Rfam family: Bacterial small subunit ribosomal RNA
Source: RNAcentral
CGCGUAGGCGGCGGAUCAAGUCAGGGGUGAAAGGCCCGGGCUCAACCCGGGAACUGCCUUUGAAACUGAUCGGCUCGAGUUCGGGAGAGGAUGGCGGAAUUCCCAGUGUAGAGGUGAAAUUCGUAGAUAUUGGGAAGAACACCGGUGGCGAAGGCGGCCAUCUGGCCCGAGACUGACGCUGAGGCGCGAAAGCGUGGGGAGCAAACA